UUGAACGCUGGCGGCAUGCCUUACACAUGCAAGUCGAACGGUAGAGGGGCAACCCUUGAGAGUGGCGAACGGGUGAGUAAUGCAUCGGAACGUGCCCAGUCGUGGGGGAUAACGCAGCGAAAGCUGUGCUAAUACCGCAUGUGAUCAGUGGAUGAAAGCAGGGGACCGCAAGGCCUUGUGCGAUUGGAGCGGCCGAUGUCAGAUUAGCUAGUUGGUAGGGUAAAAGCCUACCAAGGCGACGAUCUGUAGCUG
Molecule: ribosomal RNA, 252 nt
Filed under: uncultured bacterium
Lineage: Bacteria
Description: partial 16S ribosomal RNA
Rfam family: Bacterial small subunit ribosomal RNA
Source: RNAcentral